GACGAACGCUGGCGGCGUGCUUAACACAUGCAAGUCGAACGGAAAGGCCCUGCUUUUGUGGGGUGCUCGAGUGGCGAACGGGUGAGUAACACGUGAGUAACCUGCCCUUGACUUUGGGAUAACUUCAGGAAACUGGGGCUAAUACCGGAUAGGAGCUCCUGCUGCAUGGUGGGGGUUGGAAAGUUUCGGCGGUUGGGGAUGGACUCGCGGCUUAUCAGCUUGUUGGUGGGGUAGUGGCUUACCAAGGCUUUGACGGGUAGCCGGCCUGAGAGGGUGACCGGCCACAGUGGGACAGAUAGACGGCGCAGACUCCGACGGGAGGCAGCAGGGGGGAAGAUGGCUGAAUGGGGGGAAGCCUGAUGCAGCAACGCCGGGUGCGGGAUGACGGGCGUCGGGGUGUAAAAAGCUUUCGCCGGUAACGAAGGGGGAGGGAGGGGAAUGGAUAAAGAAGCACCGGCUAACUACAUG
Molecule: ribosomal RNA, 468 nt
Filed under: uncultured bacterium
Lineage: Bacteria
Description: partial 16S ribosomal RNA
Rfam family: Bacterial small subunit ribosomal RNA
Source: RNAcentral